Molecule: ribosomal RNA, 405 nt
Filed under: Yersinia sp. AZTITEMP286
Lineage: Bacteria; Pseudomonadati; Pseudomonadota; Gammaproteobacteria; Enterobacterales; Yersiniaceae
Description: bacterial SSU rRNA
Rfam family: Bacterial small subunit ribosomal RNA
Source: RNAcentral
UGGUGGAGCAUGUGGUUUAAUUCGAUGCAACGCGAAGAACCUUACCUACUCUUGACAUCCACAGAACUUAGCAGAGAUGCUUCGGUGCCUUCGGGAACUGUGAGACAGGUGCUGCAUGGCUGUCGUCAGCUCGUGUUGUGAAAUGUUGGGUUAAGUCCCGCAACGAGCGCAACCCUUAUCCUUUGUUGCCAGCACGUAAUGGUGGGAACUCAAGGGAGACUGCCGGUGACAAACCGGAGGAAGGUGGGGAUGACGUCAAGUCAUCAUGGCCCUUACGAGUAGGGCUACACACGUGCUACAAUGGCAGAUACAAAGUGAAGCGAACUCGCGAGAGCAAGCGGACCACAUAAAGUCUGUCGUAGUCCGGAUUGGAGUCUGCAACUCGACUCCANGAAGUNNNAAUCG